UUCUAGUUUUGGAGAUAUGAAAUGUUUUGUAAAGAGGUGAAAAAAUGCUCAAUUUUUUUUUAUUGUGUGAUCUGAAACGUUAAUGCGUAACGUUUGUUUACCUGUUUUUAUUUUUGUUAUAAGUUAGUUAUAAGCCUAGUAAUGUCGUCUCAGAGUUUAGUAGAAAAGGUACCUUAUGGAAAAAAGAUUGAAAAUUCCCAAAAAAACUAGUCAAUACGGGAAAAGAAGUUUGGUAGAGAACUGUAUUAGCAUUCUGCAAAACUAAUUUGAUAAUUUCAGUUCUGGUUGGGGCGCCUCGCAAAUAUUAUAACCGUACAUAGACCGACAUCACAAAUCCAAGUAGACUGCUAUUAUACCAAAGUUACUCUCGUCAAGUCUUUCUUAACUAGAAUAAUCUUCAUUUGGUUUGGUCGCAUGCAGUAAAUCAGCCAUUGGUUUGCUGAAAAAUGCCAAUACCCGACGCAUUACCUUAUGGAAUAUCUGAGGUCAUUGAACCUCAAUGCCGCUUAUCUUCAAUAGCAACCGAAAUAUAUUAUUGAUAAGAAAUAGACGAUUUAUACCAUAUUAACCCCAAAAUAUUAUUAGUUUAUCCUAACUGUUCCAUCAUCAUCAUGCCUCAUCAUGUAACUUGACCACAAGGUACCUUUUCAUUACAUACAAAUUAUUGGUCUUUUUUAAGAUUAUUAUGACGAAGAACUAAUUAAAUUUGGGGCAGUUUAAUGUAAAUUAAUAUUUUCUAUUCAUACAAGAUAAUCUGUAAUAUGAUUGAUAUUUUGUAGUGAUGUAUUAUUAGAUUUAUUUCCAUAAGGUACCUUUUCGUAAAUGUAUGGAGCAAAUACUGUUAUUGUUAUGUAAGUUUAAAGUGGCAUAAGGGGUUAAAUAUAGUAUUUAGUUGGGGUUUUAGGAUUUAUUUCAUUUGAAUGACAGAAUUUCUUUCAUAUGUGCUCAGAAAAAUUGAUUGUGUGUCACAUUAAAAGUAAAAAUAUUCAAUUUUGUGAUUUUAUAUGAAAAAGUCAGAAAAUACAUUUUCACCUCUAAAUCGGUAUUGUUUUUUGCUUAAACUGUCUGUCAGUGUCGUUUUCUAAUAGAUAAAAUUUAAAUCUUGAGAGCUCAUUGCAAUCAAUCGUAAAAAUGAAAUAAAACUUUAUUUUCAAGAGAUUGGUUAGUAUACACAUAAAUCAGUCGAUAUCAAAAGUUUCUAUUUGCAUUACAGAACAAGUCGCAAUAUUUUUUUAAUCUCAGAUAUAUAAGGUAUUAUUAUUUGUAGUCAACUAUGUAACUUACUUCAGGAACAUAGUUUUUUAGGCGGCUAAACUUAAAACUUCUCUAUCGUAAAGUUGCUCAUUUCACAACAUUAUUUUCAAAAAAUCAUAUCUCUGUAACUACGCAACCUAGAAGGUUGAUCUUUUGUGUUAUCGAUAGCUUAUUUAUUGUAGAUUACUGGGGUAUGCAUAACUCCAUACCCGCCAUAAGGUACCUUUGACCGUGGGACGUCACAUAUGUGUACGUUAAAUUCUACGUAAUUUGGGUGGGUUGGGUUAGGUUUGAACUGCGAUCCUCACAAAACGGAACCGCUAUCAGAAAAGUGGGUUAGGUUAGGUUAGAACUGUGACCCUUACAGAAACGAGAUGCUAUUAGAAAAGUGGGUUAGGUUAGGUUAGAACUGCGAUCCUUACAGAAACGAAAUACUAUGUACUAGAAAAAGGUCACGAAGUGGAUUAAUAAUUUAAUAGAAUAACGAGAUGUAAAAAAAUUGCAUGACAGUUUUAAACUAAAAUGUGGUUUAAAUAUUGGUGGUUAUUUACUAUUUUUAGGAUACUUUGGUGUUAUUUGCUUUAAUAGAAUAGCAAGAUGUAACAAAUUUGGUUAUCAUUUUACAUUAAAAUGGAGUUUUAAUUUUAGUGAUCAUUUAAGUACCUACUACAUAUUUUUGGCAGUAAGAAUGUUUUUUUUGACGUUACUUUUUACUAUAUGUAAUGAUCAGUUAAAUACCAGCCAAAUAAAAUUCUGCAGCCUCCUCUCUAUUGGUAUGUAAAUUGUAUGCCAUGCAAUAUUUUGGGACAUGUAAGUUAU
This is a long non-coding RNA of Cydia splendana, 2073 nucleotides long. RefSeq lists it as uncharacterized. The transcript is spliced from 2 exons. The record is from RefSeq and is a predicted model, not a curated record. Lineage: Eukaryota; Metazoa; Arthropoda; Insecta; Lepidoptera; Tortricidae.